AAUAUUGGACAAUGGGGGCAACCCUGAUCCAGCCAUGCCGCGUGUGUGAAGACGGCCUUCGGUUUGUAAAGCACUUUAAGUUGCUAGGAAGGGCUUCCGGUUAAUAUCCUGUAGUACUGCCGUUACCAACAGAAUAAGCACCUGCUCACUCUGUGCGUGCAGCCGCGGUAAUACAGAGGGUGCAAGCGUUAAUCGGAAUUACUGUGCGUAAAGGGCGCGUAGGUGGUUCAGUAAGAUGGGUGUGAAAUCCCCGGGCUUAACCUGGGAACUGCUUUCAUAACUGCUGAGCUAGAGUACGGUAGAGGGUAGUGGAAUUUCCUGUGUAGCGGUGAAAUGCGUAGAUAUAGGAAGGAACACCAGUGGCGAAGGCGACUACCGGGACUGAUACUGACACUGAGGUGCGAAAGCGUGGGGAGCAAAC
Molecule: ribosomal RNA, 421 nt
Filed under: uncultured bacterium
Lineage: Bacteria
Description: partial 16S ribosomal RNA
Rfam family: Bacterial small subunit ribosomal RNA
Source: RNAcentral